Molecule: long non-coding RNA, 763 nt
Organism: Hemibagrus wyckioides
Lineage: Eukaryota; Metazoa; Chordata; Actinopteri; Siluriformes; Bagridae
Exons: 3
Source: RefSeq, a predicted model, not a curated record
CUGGCGGUGAGAUUCAAACAGCAGCUCGAGCUUUGAUGAUUGUUUUAGAGAUAGCUUUUUCUAUCAAGUAUUAUCUGUUACUGUAAGGCUCAUUUCAUAGCAAGUGUGGUAAACCUUGCACUUCCUGUUUUUAAUGUUUCAGCACUUCUCCAUGAUGUAAUGGCCCAACAACAAAUUCUUAUGGAGCAGCAGAGAAACAUUCUAAGAAUGGUGCAAGAUCUAAAAGCUCACAAUGUUCAUGGGAUCACAGGUUGACCAUUUCAGUCCAAAAAGAUUUCCCAUUGAAGACUUAAGGUCAUUAACAUCUUUGGAAGUGACCUUCGAUCCUGUCCAGAAACUAGAUGAGAGGUGGUAGUACUUGAACUAGGAUUUCUGGGUGGAGUGGAUGUAAAGGACACAGUCUGGAGAAUUAUGAGGCAGGCCAUCAAAAAUGACUUGGCCAAAGCGGUGAACUGGAGAUGUGUAAAUGGGAAAACACUGUUCCAGACUUUGGAGCUAAAAACAUUGUUAGUGAGGCUGUAAGAAGAAAUAGUGUGUGCAGACAACUGAGCUGGAGGUGAAGAAAUUUAUUAAAAGGUGGUUUCAUCUGGCUGGUGACCGUGAGGGUUGCAGAAAAAGAAGAACACCUUUAACAUUAUAAUUUAUUGCUUGGUUUCUAGUAUUUGUUAUUUUUGUAUUUUAAAUAUUUAUUUUUAUUUUACUGGUUUCUUAUUUUUUUCUUCCACUGUUUUUUUUUUUUUCCAUGCUGAGAUUUGUUUCCCAU